Molecule: transfer RNA, 84 nt
Filed under: Felis catus (domestic cat)
Lineage: Eukaryota; Metazoa; Chordata; Mammalia; Carnivora; Felidae
Rfam family: tRNA
About the family: Transfer RNA (tRNA) molecules are approximately 80 nucleotides in length. Their secondary structure includes four short double-helical elements and three loops (D, anti-codon, and T loops). Further hydrogen bonds mediate the characteristic L-shaped molecular structure. tRNAs have two regions of fundamental functional importance: the anti-codon, which is responsible for specific mRNA codon recognition, and the 3' end, to which the tRNAs corresponding amino acid is attached (by aminoacyl-tRNA synthetases). tRNAs cope with the degeneracy of the genetic code in two manners: having more than one tRNA (with a specific anti-codon) for a particular amino acid; and 'wobble' base-pairing, i.e. permitting non-standard base-pairing at the 3rd anti-codon position.
Source: Rfam by way of RNAcentral
GCCUGGGUGGCUCAGUCGGUUGAGCGUCCGACUUCGGCUCGGGUCAUGAUCUCGCAGUUGUGAGUUCAAGCCCCGCGUCAGGCU